Molecule: ribosomal RNA, 1443 nt
Filed under: Lacticaseibacillus rhamnosus
Lineage: Bacteria; Bacillati; Bacillota; Bacilli; Lactobacillales; Lactobacillaceae
Description: bacterial SSU rRNA
Rfam family: Bacterial small subunit ribosomal RNA
Source: RNAcentral
GCAGGUCGAACGAGUUCUCGAUUAUUGAAAGGUGCUUGCAUCUUGAUUUAAUUUUGAACGAGUGGCGGACGGGUGAGUAACACGUGGGUAACCUGCCCUUAAGUGGGGGAUAACAUUUGGAAACAGAUGCUAAUACCGCAUAAAUCCAAGAACCGCAUGGUUCUUGGCUGAAAGAUGGCGUAAGCUAUCGCUUUUGGAUGGACCCGCGGCGUAUUAGCUAGUUGGUGAGGUAACGGCUCACCAAGGCAAUGAUACGUAGCCGAACUGAGAGGUUGAUCGGCCACAUUGGGACUGAGACACGGCCCAAACUCCUACGGGAGGCAGCAGUAGGGAAUCUUCCACAAUGGACGCAAGUCUGAUGGAGCAACGCCGCGUGAGUGAAGAAGGCUUUCGGGUCGUAAAACUCUGUUGUUGGAGAAGAAUGGUCGGCAGAGUAACUGUUGUCGGCGUGACGGUAUCCAACCAGAAAGCCACGGCUAACUACGUGCCAGCAGCCGCGGUAAUACGUAGGUGGCAAGCGUUAUCCGGAUUUAUUGGGCGUAAAGCGAGCGCAGGCGGUUUUUUAAGUCUGAUGUGAAAGCCCUCGGCUUAACCGAGGAAGUGCAUCGGAAACUGGGAAACUUGAGUGCAGAAGAGGACAGUGGAACUCCAUGUGUAGCGGUGAAAUGCGUAGAUAUAUGGAAGAACACCAGUGGCGAAGGCGGCUGUCUGGUCUGUAACUGACGCUGAGGCUCGAAAGCAUGGGUAGCGAACAGGAUUAGAUACCCUGGUAGUCCAUGCCGUAAACGAUGAAUGCUAGGUGUUGGAGGGUUUCCGCCCUUCAGUGCCGCAGCUAACGCAUUAAGCAUUCCGCCUGGGGAGUACGACCGCAAGGUUGAAACUCAAAGGAAUUGACGGGGGCCCGCACAAGCGGUGGAGCAUGUGGUUUAAUUCGAAGCAACGCGAAGAACCUUACCAGGUCUUGACAUCUUUUGAUCACCUGAGAGAUCAGGUUUCCCCUUCGGGGGCAAAAUGACAGGUGGUGCAUGGUUGUCGUCAGCUCGUGUCGUGAGAUGUUGGGUUAAGUCCCGCAACGAGCGCAACCCUUAUGACUAGUUGCCAGCAUUUAGUUGGGCACUCUAGUAAGACUGCCGGUGACAAACCGGAGGAAGGUGGGGAUGACGUCAAAUCAUCAUGCCCCUUAUGACCUGGGCUACACACGUGCUACAAUGGAUGGUACAACGAGUUGCGAGACCGCGAGGUCAAGCUAAUCUCUUAAAGCCAUUCUCAGUUCGGACUGUAGGCUGCAACUCGCCUACACGAAGUCGGAAUCGCUAGUAAUCGCGGAUCAGCACGCCGCGGUGAAUACGUUCCCGGGCCUUGUACACACCGCCCGUCACACCAUGAGAGUUUGUAACACCCGAAGCCGGUGGCGUAACCACUUUUAGAGAGCGAACACAUGCU